Molecule: ribosomal RNA, 487 nt
Filed under: uncultured Sphingobacteriales bacterium
Lineage: Bacteria; Pseudomonadati; Bacteroidota; Sphingobacteriia; Sphingobacteriales
Description: bacterial SSU rRNA
Rfam family: Bacterial small subunit ribosomal RNA
Source: RNAcentral
CAGAAACUUAAAGGAAGUUGACGGGGGCCCGCACAAGCGGUGGAGCAUGUGGUUUAAUUCGAUGAUACGCGAGGAACCUUACCUGGGCUCAAAUGUAUGUUGACGUAUUCUGAAAGGGAUACUUCUUCGGACAAUAUACAAGGUGCUGCAUGGUUGUCGUCAGCUCGUGCCGUGAGGUGUCGGGUUAAGUCCCAUAACGAGCGCAACCCCUAUCAUUAGUUGCCAUCAGGUCAAGCUGGGGACUCUAAUGAAACUGCCUACGCAAGUAGUGAGGAAGGUGGGGAUGACGUCAAAUCAGCACGGCCCUUACGGCCUGGGCUACACACGUGCUACAAUGGUCGGUACAAAGGGUUGCCAAGCCGCGAGGUGGAGCUAAUCCCAUAAAACCGAUCGUAGUCCGGAUCGCAGUCUGCAACUCGACUGCGUGAAGUCGGAAUCGCUAGUAAUCGUGAAUCAGAAUGUCACGGUGAAUACGUUCCCGGGCCUU